RNAcentral lists this ribosomal RNA (429 nucleotides) under Pseudomonadota bacterium. RNAcentral describes it as "Proteobacteria bacterium partial 16S ribosomal RNA". It matches the Rfam family "Bacterial small subunit ribosomal RNA", at positions 355 to 776 of the family's 1533-position model. The record is from RNAcentral. Lineage: Bacteria; Pseudomonadati; Pseudomonadota.
UGGGGAAUAUUGGACAAUGGGCGAAAGCCUGAUCCAGCCAUGCCGCGUGUGUGAAGAAGGUCUUCGGAUUGUAAAGCACUUUAAGUUGGGAGGAAGGGCAGUAAGCGAAUACCUUGCUGUUUUGACGUUACCGACAGAAUAAGCACCGGCUAACUCUGUGCCAGUAGCCGCGGUAAUACAGAGGGUGCAAGCGUUAAUCGGAAUUACUGGGCGUAAAGCGCGCGUAGGUGGUUCGUUAAGUUGAAUGUGAAAGCCCCGGGCUCAACCUGGGAACUGCAUCCAAAACUGGCGAGCUAGAGUAGGGCAGAGGGUGGUGGAAUUUCCUGUGUAGCGGUGAAAUGCGUAGAUAUAGGAAGGAACACCAGUGGCGAAGGCGACCACCUGGGAUCAUACUGACACUGAGGUGCGAAAGCGUGGGGAGCAAACAGG